Molecule: long non-coding RNA, 480 nt
Filed under: Homo sapiens (human)
Lineage: Eukaryota; Metazoa; Chordata; Mammalia; Primates; Hominidae
Description: non-protein coding lnc-CENPM-2:1
Source: RNAcentral
GUCGGUCUCUUCUACUUCAAGAUCUACAAUUCCUCCAUCUCGCUCCCUGCCAGGCUGUUAGGGCCUUGAGAGCAAGGCCUGAGUCAUGUUCAUCUCCGCAUCCUCCUGCCCAUCUGCCCUGCUUAGAGGCUUAGAGGACACUUCCUGCCCAGUAAUUACAGGCCAAGUUUCAGCUGCCCUCUAGGGGCCCAAAGUGACAAUGGCCCUCUCCUAUCUAUACAUAUGGUGCUUUCCCAUCAAAGGAAAGAUCCAUAGGCCUGGAAGUGGCCUCAGAGAACAGAGGCCUCCACUCAACCACAAAACCAUUGUGGUGGCCUCCCAGACAAGUGUCAUAGGCUCUGGAGUCCUUCAAGCCUGGGUUUGUUACAACUAUGUGAUUUUCAAACAAGUCAAUCCCCCUGAGCUCCCCUCUCAUCUGUAAAAUGGAGAUUAUAUCAGUCAGAAUGAGUUAAAUUAUGCUGCAGUAACAACCAUUCCCAA